RNAcentral lists this ribosomal RNA (376 nucleotides) under uncultured Campylobacterota bacterium. RNAcentral describes it as "bacterial SSU rRNA". It matches the Rfam family "Bacterial small subunit ribosomal RNA", at positions 521 to 896 of the family's 1533-position model. The record is from RNAcentral. Lineage: Bacteria; Pseudomonadati; Campylobacterota.
UAAUACGGAGGGUGCAAGCGUUACUCGGAAUCACUGGGCGUAAAGCGCAUGCAGGCGGCCAAAUAAGUUAGAAGUGAAAUCCUACAGCUCAACUGUAGAACUGCUUCUAAAACUGUUUGGCUAGAGUCUGGGAGGGGAAGAUGGAAUUAGUUGUGUAGGGGUAAAAUCCGUAGAGAUAACUAGGAAUACCAAAAGCGAAGGCGAUCUUCUGGAACAGUACUGACGCUGAGAUGCGAAAGCGUGGGGAGCAAACAGGAUUAGAUACCCUGGUAGUCCACGCAGUAAACGAUGAAUGUUAGUCGUUGGAGUGCUAGACACUUCAGUGAUGCAGUUAACACAUUAAACAUUCCGCCUGGGGAGUACGGUCGCAAGAUUA